GACGAACGCUGGCGGCGUGCUUAACACAUGCGAGUCGAACGCUGAACCCGCUUCGGUGGGGGAUGAGUGGCGAACGGGUGAGUAACACGUGGGCAACCUGCCCCCGGCUCUGGGAUAACUCCAAGAAAUUGGGGCUAAUACCGGAUGUGACCGCUGGCCGCAUGGUCUGGUGGUGGAAAGGGUUUCCGGCUGGGGAUGGGCCCGCGGCCUAUCAGCUUGUUGGUGGGGUAGUGGCCUACCAAGGCGACGACGGGUAGCCGGCCUGAGAGGGUGACCGGCCACACUGGGACUGAGACACGGCCCAGACUCCUACGGGAGGCAGCAGUGGGGAAUAUUGCGCAAUGGGCGGAAGCCUGACGCAGCGACGCCGCGUGGGGGAUGGCGGCCUUCGGGUUGUAAACCUCUUUCAGCAGGGACGAAGCGCAAGUGACGGUACCUGCAGAAGAAGCACCGGCCAACUACGUG
This 465-nucleotide ribosomal RNA is filed under the name uncultured bacterium. RNAcentral's name for it is "partial 16S ribosomal RNA". It matches the Rfam family "Bacterial small subunit ribosomal RNA", at positions 28 to 507 of the family's 1533-position model. The record is from RNAcentral.